GCCUUAAUGCAGCCGCCCGAUUGGGCGCAGGUCGCAAGCCCUGAACGAUGCAGAGCGAGGA
Molecule: non-coding RNA, 61 nt
Filed under: unclassified sequences
Source: RNAcentral